AACUGAUACUACCUGCGGGAACCUGCGGAAGGAUCAUUACAGAGUUGAAAAACUCCCUAAACCCUUUGUUUAUAUACCUGUUCAGUUGCUUCGGCAGGCGGCCCCAGGGCGGGGCCUCCGGCCUGCUUAGGCAGGUGCCUGCCGCUGGCGCAAAAACUCUUGUUAUAUGUUACCACUCUGAGUCUCAAAAAAAUGAAUCAAAACUUUCAACAACGGAUCUCUAGAUCGGAAGAGCACACG
This 240-nucleotide unclassified non-coding RNA is filed under the name soil metagenome. RNAcentral describes it as "partial contains 5.8S ribosomal RNA, internal transcribed spacer 2, and large subunit ribosomal RNA". The record is from RNAcentral.